AAAAGGGAGGAUAUAAUAUGGAUCAGAAGCUACAAACCAAAAGAAAUAGAGGAGCAAUGAGGAACAAGUGUAAACACAGUCAAAUCACACCCAAAACCUCUAAUUCAAUCCUCUUCUUGACUCCAUUAUUCACAUAAUUUUUUUUAUUUUCUCAUUUUUCUAUAUUUUUUUUCAUCUUGUCUCUUUUCUUUUCUCUUUUCAG
RNAcentral lists this long non-coding RNA (202 nucleotides) under Vigna radiata. RNAcentral describes it as "long non-coding RNA (VRAD_LNC016526)". Lineage: Eukaryota; Viridiplantae; Streptophyta; Magnoliopsida; Fabales; Fabaceae. The record is from RNAcentral.